CAAAGGUUCCCUCAGCCUGGUUGGUAAUCAGGUGGUGAGUGUAAGUGCACAAGGGGGCUUGACUGUGAGACUGACAGGUCGAGCAGGGACGAAAGUCGGGACUAGUGAUCCGGCACCGGCAUGUGGAAGCGGUGUCGCUCAACGGAUAAAAGGUACCCCGGGGAUAACAGGCUGAUCUUCCCCAAGAGUCCAUAUCGACGGGAUGGUUUGGCACCUCGAUGUCGGCUCGUCGCAUCCUGGGGCUG
This 245-nucleotide ribosomal RNA is filed under the name Tryblionella compressa. RNAcentral's name for it is "partial Bacterial large subunit ribosomal RNA". It matches the Rfam family "Bacterial large subunit ribosomal RNA", at positions 2311 to 2555 of the family's 2925-position model. The record is from RNAcentral. Lineage: Eukaryota; Bacillariophyta; Bacillariophyceae; Bacillariales; Bacillariaceae.